AGUGGCGGACUGGUGAGUAACACGUAAGCAACCUGCCUAUCAGAGGGGAACAACAGUUAGAAAUGAUUGCUAAUACCGCAUAUGCCUAAGUACCACAUGGUACAAUAGGGAAAGGAGCAAUCCGCUGAUAGAUGGGCUUGCGUCUGAUUAGAUAGUUGGUGGGGUAAUGGCCUACCAAGUCGACGAUCAGUAGCCGGACUGAGAGGUUGAACGGCCACAUUGGGACUGAGAUACGGCCCAGACUCCUACGGGAGGCAGCAGUCGGGAAUAUUGCGCAAUGGAGGAAACUCUGACGCAGUGACGCCGCGUGCAGGAAGAAGGUUUUCGGAUUGUAAACUGCUUUAGACAGGGAAGAUAAUGACAGUACCUGUAAAAUAAGCUCCGGCUAACUACGUGCCAGCAGCCGCGGUAAUACGUAGGGAGCAAGCGUUAUCCGGAUUUAUUGGGUGUAAAGGGUGCGUAGACGGGAAGGCAAGUUGGUUGUGAAAUCCCUCGGCUUAACUGAGGAACUGCAACCAAAACUAUCUUUCUUGAGUGCUGGAGAGGAAAGUGGAAUUCCUAGUGUAGCGGUGAAAUGCGUAGAUAUUAGGAGGAACACCAGUGGCGAAGGCGACUUUCUGGACAGUAACUGACGUUGAGGCACGAAAGUGUGGGGAGCAAACAGGAUUAGAUACCCUGGUA
RNAcentral lists this ribosomal RNA (681 nucleotides) under uncultured bacterium. RNAcentral describes it as "bacterial SSU rRNA". It matches the Rfam family "Bacterial small subunit ribosomal RNA", at positions 94 to 792 of the family's 1533-position model. The record is from RNAcentral.